AUUGAACGCUGGCGGCAUGCUUUACACAUGCAAGUCGGACGGCAGCACAGAGAAGCUUGCUUCUUGGGUGGCGAGUGGCGAACGGGUGAGUAAUAUAUCGGAACGUACCGAGUAAUGGGGGAUAACUAAUCGAAAGAUUAGCUAAUACCGCAUAUUCUCUGAGGAGGAAAGCAGGGGACCUUCGGGCCUUGCGUUAUUCGAGCGGCCGAUAUCUGAUUAGCUAGUUGGUGGGGUAAAGGCCUACCAAGGCGACGAUCAGUAGCGGGUCUGAGAGGAUGAUCCGCCACACUGGGACUGAGACACGGCCCAGACUCCUACGGGAGGCAGCAGUGGGGAAUUUUGGACAAUGGGCGCAAGCCUGAUCCAGCCAUGCCCCGUGUCUGAAGAAGGCCUUCGGGUUGUAAAGGACUUUUGUCAGGGAAGAAAAGGCUGUUGCUAAUACCGACAGCUGAUGACGGUACCUGAAGAAUAAGCACCGGCUAACUACGUG
This 490-nucleotide ribosomal RNA is filed under the name uncultured bacterium. RNAcentral's name for it is "partial 16S ribosomal RNA". It matches the Rfam family "Bacterial small subunit ribosomal RNA", at positions 30 to 507 of the family's 1533-position model. The record is from RNAcentral.